GGAGAGCCGGGACAGACCGGCCAAGAGGAGCCGGUUCCCCACGUCGAGAACGGGGAAGGGAAGGGAGGGCCCGGGCGGACGCCGUGCUGUGCACUCCCCCCCCACACGCGAGCAAUGGGGAGCCGCCGCCGCUCCCCUCCUGCCAUCGGAGGGUGUGGGGGGGAGCUUGGCGGGAGGAACCCGGAGCAGAGCCGUCCUUGCCUGCCUCACCUGCCCACUUCUCCGGAGGCGGCUGCAGGGAGACCCCCCCUGGCUGUGCCGCCGGCCGCUGCCCCUUCCAUCGUCUUGCUCUUCUGGUUUCAGGCCGAUCCGCUCGGCUACCCGCCAGCCGGGGGCACUUCUCCUUCCUUCCUUCCUCGGGCUCUGUCUCUCCUGGAGGGCCCAGACCCCCCCCCGCUCCGGCCAGGCAGGGAAAGCGCCCCUCGCCUUCACAGGCAGGAUACCCACCAACCACCCCUCCGUGCUCGAGCGCACACAGGCAGAGCCACUUUGUGGUAAGUAGGCCGGGCCUCUCUUUCAAGAGCCUGGAGGGACCCAUAGAAUUGAUGGGCACGUACCCCACACACACCCCAGACAGUCUCCCUCUCCGCCCCUGCUUCGGAAUUCCUUGUUUCCCUACCAGGCCGCUUGAAAUGAGGAACCAGGACCCUGAGACGCUGCAGUGCUCCGACGAUGCCAUUUUACCUGUCGCCGCUUCUGACCCGCAAAGUAACAUUGUUCUGCAAGAAGAGGAGCUGCAGGAACCGAUAACGUCUGGGAAAUGGUCUGCCUUAUCGCAAGAGUAGCCUUCAAACACCCUCUUUGCUGGUGGUUGCUAAAAAUUCACAAAGAAGUCCUGCUUCCUUCGGGUCGAUCCCACCAGCCAGUUUCUGCUUCCCACUGAGGACCCUCCUCAAGCAUUGCUUCUAUUCUGCCAAUGGUUCGUUACGGAUUCUGCAGAUUUUAUCAACAGGCCGGAAGGCAUAAAAUGGCUGGAUGGAGAUUAUAUUUGAGUUCAUGUGGAUUUUAAUGUUCUCCUCACAAGAAAUCCCAGAGAGUGAAGGGUUGGCCCUCGUGAAUGCUAAUUUAGGGAAGAGAACAAAAGCCACUCUCCUGCCCAGGACUUCCCCUGCUAGCUUUGACAGGAAUGGCAUUUUGCAAAACUGAUUUGUCCCUUCAUAAAAACGGAGGUCCGUUGGCAAAGAGGAGGGGAAGAGAUGGCACACACACCCCGGAAGUGGAGAGAGGGUUAGCGGUAGCUGCGUUUCUGGAGCAGGACAUUUCUCCUGUUAAAUGAUUCCUUUUUCUGUGCAUCAAAUUCAAGAGACAAACAAUUUAUUCGCGAAGGCUUUCACAGCCAGGAUCUAAUGGUUUUUCGGGCUCUUUGGCUGUGUUCUGACAUUAGACAUGCAAUUUCAUCCAAAAUUUGAUCAUGAUCCAAUCAACUCAUUUUCCCCAACUUUCAGCCCCCUCCCUAAUCUAGCAGACUACAGCUCCCAUGAUCCCCAGCCAGCCAUCUUGCCCUAGCAGGGGGAAAAGUGGGGGACCGCCUCUCUCUCACCAACUAUCAGAAGUAAAUCAAUCAAUCAAAUAAUCAAUCAAUCAAUCAGGUGGUUUUCAAAACUCCAGCAGCUCCUGCCCACACAGGCUGGUCCCUGAUCAGCCCAGAGGUGGAUCGUGUGGACCCAGAGGUCCCCAGACAGCAGGACAAGGGCAGCUGGGGGGGGGCAAAAGCCCACACCGCUGCUCCCCAUAGAAAUGAGACCUCCAGCCCUUGGCUUGGGAGUCAUACCCUGGACUUAAGGU
Molecule: long non-coding RNA, 1785 nt
Filed under: Pogona vitticeps (central bearded dragon)
Lineage: Eukaryota; Metazoa; Chordata; Lepidosauria; Squamata; Agamidae
Description: lncRNA (ENSPVIG00000001866.1)
Source: RNAcentral